Molecule: long non-coding RNA, 996 nt
Filed under: Homo sapiens (human)
Lineage: Eukaryota; Metazoa; Chordata; Mammalia; Primates; Hominidae
Description: non-protein coding lnc-PCNX1-1:2
Source: RNAcentral
AAAGAAAUUAGAAAAUGUUGAUAAGUUGCUGUUUUAGAGAUGAAGAGUCAUGGAACCUUUGCACUGAAAGGAACCUAGGAGAGCAUCUAGCCCAACACUCCCGUUUCACAGAAGACUCACCAGAGGCUCAGAGAUGUUAAGAGAUUUCUCAAGGUCAUGUGUAGUUGGUGGUAAAUCAGGGCUGCAAUCCAAUUCCAUGACUUCAAGUUUGUCAUUCCUCCUGGCUUCCCCACUGGUAUCAGCCUUAGUUUCAUCCUCAGGCUAGUCCCCCGCAUGGUCACACGUGCAUCGCGGACUUCCCCUGCCGCCUCCAUUUAGGUCACGUGCUUACCCCUAGACCAAUAACGGCUACCAGGGAAGACCACGCUCUGAUGCACUUACCCUGACCACCUCCCACCUCCUGAGCUGGGGCUGGGUCUGCAGGGGGGCAGAUACCUGAACAAAACUGGAGUUUUGAUAACAACAAAGAAAAUACAAUUUUACUUAAAGUGAUCCAAGGGGACACUGAGUCAGCCAUUCAUGAAGCUGAACAUCAUUUCAAGGGACGCUGGCUCCGGUAUCAUGGUGAACGCCAAGGUGAAGAGCAGCCGCAUGAGAUCCCAAAGGAAAGCCCGGGAGUCACACAAGUGGAGUACAGCAGCAAACCCCCUCCACCGCCUGCCCUUGGCUUUGGUCUUGCCAGGGAACAGCUGAUGCCGACUAGAUGACGCAACCAGGAAGUGAAUAUCCUGUCUGCUCCUUGUUCUGUGCUGUCUGUGUGUCCUAGCUUGCCAUCCCAAAUCAAGGCAUCCCUUGAAAUCCCCUGGGUCCAAGCAUCCAGAUGCUCAGUGAACGCAGUGCUCUAACUCCAUCUUCCACUUUCCAUUAAGAAGUCAAUGACUCUUAUUCAAUACAACUCCAUCUUCUGCUAACCCCUAAAAGGAAUUUACAUUCUGCUCAUUUCACUUCCCAUUAUAUUGUAUUAAUUUUCCCAUCAUUAAACCUUUUAAACCCAAU